This 508-nucleotide ribosomal RNA is filed under the name uncultured bacterium. RNAcentral describes it as "bacterial SSU rRNA". It matches the Rfam family "Bacterial small subunit ribosomal RNA", at positions 28 to 526 of the family's 1533-position model. The record is from RNAcentral.
GAUGAACGCUAGCGGCAGGCUUAACACAUGCAAGUCGAGGGGCAGCACGAUUGAUAGCAAUAUUAAUUGGUGGCGACCGGCGCACGGGUGCGUAACGCGUAUGCAACCUACCUUACACUGGUGAAUAACCCGGAGAAAUUCGGACUAAUACACCGUAUGUACUAAGAAGGCAUCUUCUAAGUAUGAGAGAUUAAUCGAUGUAAGAUGGGCAUGCGUGACAUUAGGUAGUUGGUGAGGUAACGGCUCACCAAGCCCACGAUGUCUAGGGGUUCUGAGAGGAAGGUCCCCCACACUGGUACUGAGACACGGACCAGACUCCUACGGGAGGCAGCAGUGAGGAAUAUUGGUCAAUGGACGCAAGUCUGAACCAGCCAUGCCGCGUGCAGGAUGACGGCUCUAUGAGUUGUAAACUGCUUUUGUAUUAGAAUAAAGCCCAUUACGUGUAAUGGUUUGAAUGUAUAAUACGAAUAAGGAUCGGCUAACUCCGUGCCAGCAGCCGCAGUAAAAC